RNAcentral lists this ribosomal RNA (467 nucleotides) under uncultured bacterium. Its description in RNAcentral is "bacterial SSU rRNA". It matches the Rfam family "Bacterial small subunit ribosomal RNA", at positions 29 to 506 of the family's 1533-position model. The record is from RNAcentral.
ACGAACGCUGGCGGCGUGCUUAACACAUGCAAGUCGAACGAGGUCCAUGGAGUAGCAAUACUCCGGAAGACCUAGUGGCGAACGGGUGCGUAACACGUGAGGAACUUGUCCCGGUCUCUGGGAUAACAGUUGGAAACGACUGCUAAUACCGGAUGACGUCGGAGCGUCGCAUGGCGCGCUGACGAAGGGGUUACCGGAUCGGGAGAGCCUCGCGGCCUAUCAGCUUGUUGGCGGGGUAACGGCCCACCAAGGCAUCGACGGGUAGCUGGUCUGAGAGGAUGAUCAGCCACACUGGGACUGAGACACGGCCCAGACUCCUACGGGAGGCAGCAGUGGGGAAUCUUGCGCAAUGGGCGAAAGCCUGACGCAGCAACGCCGCGUGCGGGAAGAAGGCCCUCGGGUUGUAAACCGCUUUCAGCAGGAACGAAAAUGACGGUAGCAUAUGAAUAAGCACCGGCUAACUCCGU